This 202-nucleotide unclassified non-coding RNA is filed under the name Melitaea cinxia (Glanville fritillary). Its description in RNAcentral is "misc RNA ENSMCXG00005003381.1". The record is from RNAcentral. Lineage: Eukaryota; Metazoa; Arthropoda; Insecta; Lepidoptera; Nymphalidae.
ACAGUCAACUCAUCACGAAAUUUGUUGCAAACUUACGUACGAAACUGGUAACGUAUCUGUAGUGGAGAACGAUGCGUCCACGAGAGCCGCAGAGCUAUGUAUCAAAUUUUGAUCCAGCUGUACACAAUUUUAGAGCGUGGUAUAGUGAAUCAGGAUAUCGAGGCGACAUCAUAUGUAACGAGUGUUGUUGAUUUUCCAAAAU